This 440-nucleotide ribosomal RNA is filed under the name uncultured bacterium. RNAcentral describes it as "bacterial SSU rRNA". It matches the Rfam family "Bacterial small subunit ribosomal RNA", at positions 338 to 795 of the family's 1533-position model. The record is from RNAcentral.
CCUACGGGAGGCAGCAGUGGGGAAUAUUGGACAAUGGGCGAAAGCCUGAUCCAGCAAUGCCGCGUGAGUGAUGAAGGCCCUAGGGUUGUAAAGCUCUUUUACCCGGGAAGAUAAUGACUGUACCGGGAGAAUAAGCCCCGGCUAACUCCGUGCCAGCAGCCGCGGUAAUACGGAGGGGGCUAGCGUUGUUCGGAAUUACUGGGCGUAAAGCGCACGUAGGCGGCUUUGUAAGUCAGAGGUGAAAGCCUGGAGCUCAACUCCAGAACUGCCUUUGAGACUGCAUCGCUUGAAUCCAGGAGAGGUCAGUGGAAUUCCGAGUGUAGAGGUGAAAUUCGUAGAUAUUCGGAAGAACACCAGUGGCGAAGGCGGCUGACUGGACUGGUAUUGACGCUGAGGUGCGAAAGCGUGGGGAGCAAACAGGAUUAGAUACCCUUGUAGUC